RNAcentral lists this ribosomal RNA (211 nucleotides) under uncultured bacterium. RNAcentral describes it as "partial 16S ribosomal RNA". It matches the Rfam family "Bacterial small subunit ribosomal RNA", at positions 32 to 225 of the family's 1533-position model. The record is from RNAcentral.
AAUCAACGCUGGCGGCGUGCCUAACACAUGCAAGUCGAGCGCGAAAGGGGGCAACUCCCAAGUAGAGCGGGCGAACGGGUGAGUAACGCGUAGGGUAAUCUACCUUCGAGUGGGGAAUAACACCGGGAACUGGUGCUAAUACCGCAUUACAUCCUCGAGCCUUCGGGUUUGGGGAUCAAAGCUGGGGACCGCAAGGCCUAGCGCUUGAAGA